RNAcentral lists this ribosomal RNA (506 nucleotides) under uncultured bacterium. RNAcentral's name for it is "partial 16S ribosomal RNA". It matches the Rfam family "Bacterial small subunit ribosomal RNA", at positions 29 to 523 of the family's 1533-position model. The record is from RNAcentral.
AUUGAACGCUGGCGGCAGGCCUAACACAUGCAAGUCGAACGGCAGCACAGAAGAGCUUGCUCUUUGGGUGGCGAGUGGCGGACGGGUGAGUAAUGUCUGGGAAACUGCCCGAUGGAGGGGGAUAACUACUGGAAACGGUAGCUAAUACCGCAUAACGUCGCGAGACCAAAGUGGGGGACCUUCGGGCCUCACACCAUCGGAUGUGCCCAGAUGGGAUUAGCUAGUAGGUGGGGUAAUGGCUCACCUAGGCGACGAUCCCUAGCUGGUGUGAGAGGAUGACAAGCCACAGUGGAACUGAGACGCGGGCCAGACUCCUACGGGAGGCAGCAGUGGGGAAUAUUGGACAAUGGGCGCAAGCCUGAUGCAGCCAUGCCGCGUGUAUGAAGAAGGCCUUCGGGUUGUAAAGUACUUUCAGCGGGGAGGAAGGCGGUGAGGUUAAUAACCUCGGCGAUUGACGUUACCCGCAGAAGAAGCACCGGCUAACUCCGUGCCAGCCGCCGCAGUAA